Non-coding RNA from Acanthosepion pharaonis, 97 nucleotides. NCBI's taxonomy places the organism in Eukaryota, Metazoa, Mollusca, Cephalopoda, Sepiida, Sepiidae. The record is from the annotation of a GenBank genome assembly.
UGUUUACACCGGUUCUCGUACGAUCACCGAAGUUAAGAAACAUCGAACCUAGUCACUACCAAGAUGGGUGACCGCUUGGGAAUGCCCGGUGCUGAAA